This 422-nucleotide ribosomal RNA is filed under the name uncultured bacterium. Its description in RNAcentral is "bacterial SSU rRNA". It matches the Rfam family "Bacterial small subunit ribosomal RNA", at positions 29 to 494 of the family's 1533-position model. The record is from RNAcentral.
AGCGAACGCUGGCGGCAGGCUUAACACAUGCAAGUCGAACGGGCAUAGCAAUAUGUCAGUGGCAGACGGGUGAGUAACGCGUGGGAACGUACCUUUUGGUUCGGAACAACACAGGGAAACUUGUGCUAAUACCGGAUAAGCCCUUACGGGGAAAGAUUUAUCGCCGAAAGAUCGGCCCGCGUCUGAUUAGCUAGUUGGUGAGGUAAUGGCUCACCAAGGCGACGAUCAGUAGCUGGCUGAGAGGAUGAUCAGCCACAUUGGGACUGAGACACGGCCCAAACUCCUACGGGAGGCAGCAGUGGGGAAUAUUGGACAAUGGGCGAAAGCCUGAUCCAGCCAUGCCGCGUGAGUGAUGAAGGCCCUAAGGGUUGUAAAGCUCUUUUGUGCGGGAAGAUAAUGACGGUACCGCAAGAAUAAGCCCC